GCCUGGGUGGCUCAGUCAGCUAAGCAUCUGACUUCUAUUCAGAUCAUGAUCUCUCAGUUCAUGGGUUUGAGCCCCACCAUGGGCU
RNAcentral lists this transfer RNA (85 nucleotides) under Felis catus (domestic cat). It matches the Rfam family "tRNA". Rfam says of the family: Transfer RNA (tRNA) molecules are approximately 80 nucleotides in length. The record is from Rfam by way of RNAcentral. Lineage: Eukaryota; Metazoa; Chordata; Mammalia; Carnivora; Felidae.